UACAGAGGGGGCAAGCGUUAUUCGGAAUUAUUGGGCGUAAAGGGCGCGUAGGCGGCCAUUCAAGUGACGGGUGAAAGCCCUCGGCUUAACCGAGGAACUGCCUGUCAGACUGGAUGGCUUGAGACCGGGAGAGGUGAGUGGAAUUCCCAGUGUAGCGGUGAAAUGCGUAGAUAUUGGGAGGAACACCGGUGGCGAAGGCGGGUCUCUGGGCCGAUACUGACGCUGAGGAGCGAAAGCGUGGGGAGCGAACAGG
RNAcentral lists this ribosomal RNA (253 nucleotides) under uncultured bacterium. RNAcentral describes it as "partial 16S ribosomal RNA". It matches the Rfam family "Bacterial small subunit ribosomal RNA", at positions 524 to 776 of the family's 1533-position model. The record is from RNAcentral.